GACGAACGCUGGCGGCGUGCUUAACACAUGCAAGUCGAACGGAAAGGCCCUGCUUUUGUGGGGUGCUCGAGUGGCGAACGGGUGAGUAACACGUGAGUAACCUGCCCUUGACUUUGGGAUAACUUCAGGAAACUGGGGCUAAUACCGGAUAGGAGCUCCUGCUGCAUGGUGGGGGUUGGAAAGUUUCGGCGGUUGGGGAUGGACUCGCGGCUUAUCAGCUUGUUGGUGGGGUAGUGGCUUACCAAGGCUUUGACGGGUAGCCGGCCUGAGAGGGUGACCGGCCAAAUUGGGACUGGGGUACGGGCCAGGCUCCUUCGGGGGGCAGCAGUGGGGAAUUAUGCACCAUUGGCGGAAGCCUGAAGCAGCAACGCCGCGUGCGGGAUUACGGCCUUCGGGUUGUAAACCGCUUUCGCCUGUGACGAAGCGUGAGUGACGGUAAUGGGUAAAGAAGCACCGGCUAACUACGUG
RNAcentral lists this ribosomal RNA (468 nucleotides) under uncultured bacterium. Its description in RNAcentral is "partial 16S ribosomal RNA". It matches the Rfam family "Bacterial small subunit ribosomal RNA", at positions 28 to 507 of the family's 1533-position model. The record is from RNAcentral.